GGGCCCAAGCUUGUCUCAAACUCCUGUCUUCAAGUGAUCCUCCCUCCUUGGCCUCCCAAGGUGCUGGGAUUACAGGUGUGAGCUACUGUGUCUGGCCCCAAAGAUUUUAUUUUUAUAAUGACAGAAUAUCAGUGUUAGCAGAGUCCAUUAAAAUUAUAUAUGACAAUCAUCUGUUUAACCCAUUUAUGCCAAAUGUUGCAAUUUUGUGUGUGUGUGUGUGUGUAUGUGUGAAAAAUCAGAACUUGGUGAUGACCUUGAGCAACAGGAUAUACAUAACUGCCACAAGCUUAGCAUUCCAAUAGUGGAACACUAGGCAUAAAUGGGUUAUGGCUUCAGUAUCCUGCAAAAUAUCCCUGUAAGGUAGCUGUCUAUGCUUAAACACCUUGGUCUUAGGAAACUAGGAUUUGUGGAUAUUAGGCAAUGUUAUGGGCUGAUUGUGUCCCCUAAAAUACAUAGGGUGAAGCCCUAAGCUCCUACCAACUGUAUUUGGAGAUAAGGCCUUUGAAGAAGUAAUUAAGGUUUAAUGAGGUCAUAAGGUUGGCACUCUAAUCCACUAGGACUGGCGUCCUUAUAAGGACAGGAAGAGACAUCAGAGGUUCUCUUGAGCUCACAAAGAAAAGGCUGUGUAAGGACACAGCAGCAGAAGGCUAUCUGCAGCCAAAGACAGAGGCCUCAGGAAAAACCAAACCUGAUGACACCUCAGUAUUGGACUUCUAGCCUCCAGAGUUAUAUGGACCCACCUCUCUAUUUUCAAGAGCAUUAAAUUCAGUUAAAAACUAAAAACAAAAAUACUGCCAAGGGAUUGAGACGGUAAAGUAACAUCAUGCCUGAUAGAAUAAACUAUCAAGACAGCAUGAACAAACCCAACUGAAAUGGAACAAGCAAGCUUAACACAAGUCAAAGAAGCUCUCUAGAGUGUUAAAAUGAAAAUACAACUAAACAGAACCAAAACUGCUAUUCAUGGGAAUAGCAAAUGAAGAAUUUUCUUCAGAAUCUACACGGAUAACUUCUAUGAGAUUAUUCAAAAUGUGGAAAUUUUUUUCAGAAUUUUUGUUUCCAAAUGGAAUUUAAUACAUUUCAUGAAACAAAUGAAAUUUUAUCAGAAAUAAAACAUUUAAAUUACCAAAAGCCUAGCCUCCUUAGGAAGGCUGUUUUAGGAAGACAUGGGUAGAAAUAUUUUCAUCAAAGCCCUGAUCAUCUUCCCUUUUUGAGGUGAAAUCACUCUACUCUGCUGGAAACCUACAUUUAGUUAUUUAUAAACCAGUAUUAAAUGUAUAUUGUUUCAAAUCUCUAUGUAGGAAAAAUAUCCCACAUUCAUUCCCAUUUUACUAUGAACUGUAUAAACUUCCAAAAUCAUCAUGAAAAGAAAAA
RNAcentral lists this long non-coding RNA (1371 nucleotides) under Homo sapiens (human). Its description in RNAcentral is "HSALNT0059016". Lineage: Eukaryota; Metazoa; Chordata; Mammalia; Primates; Hominidae. The record is from RNAcentral.